GUGCCAGCAGCCGCGGUAAUACGUAGGCAGCAAGCGUUGUUCGGAGUUACUGGGCGUAAAGAGUGCGUAGGCGGUCCUUUAAGUUCGGUGUGAAAUCUCCCGGCUCAACUGGGAGGGUGCGCCGGAAACUGGAGGGCUCGAGUAUGGGAGAGGAAAGCGGAAUUCCUGGUGUAGCGGUGAAAUGCGUAGAUAUCAGGAGGAACACCUGCGGUGUAGACGGCUUUCUGGACCAUGACUGACGCUGAGGCACGAAAGCGUGGGGAGCAAACAGGAUUAGAAACCCCAGUAGUCC
This 292-nucleotide ribosomal RNA is filed under the name uncultured bacterium. RNAcentral's name for it is "partial 16S ribosomal RNA". It matches the Rfam family "Bacterial small subunit ribosomal RNA", at positions 505 to 796 of the family's 1533-position model. The record is from RNAcentral.